This is a long non-coding RNA of Zingiber officinale, 1141 nucleotides long. RefSeq lists it as uncharacterized. The transcript is spliced from 3 exons. NCBI's taxonomy places the organism in Eukaryota, Viridiplantae, Streptophyta, Magnoliopsida, Zingiberales, Zingiberaceae. The record is from RefSeq and is a predicted model, not a curated record.
UAUAUAUAAGCAGAUAGAAAUGAGGAAGAGCCGAAGAUCUAGACAGGAGCCAGCAAAAACCUUUCGCAUUUGGCGUCGCAGAUCGCCGACGUGAGUCCGGAGUGCGCAAGCUGGGGGUUUUAUCUUAUUCUGCAGCAGGGAUUUGGGAUCAGUCUCUUUGGAUUGCCCGGUGAGUUUAGACUAUGGAAUCUGAUGGCGGACGCGAACCGAUCCGGUCUGCCGCGGCGGAAGAGGAGGUGCUGAAGAGGAAGAAUACAGAUUGCGUCUACUUCUUGGCUUCGCCAUUGACCUGCAAGAAGAAUAGUAAAAGAAGGAGAAGGCAUCUUCUUUUAGAUCAGCUUAUCUCAGGCACACCAGUUACAAUGAGGAAUGGCAAUGGGAUUUAGCUAAAACAAGCAUAUCGAUAAAGCAUUUUAAGGAAGGCAAUGAAGGUGUAGCACAGAUCAAACAGGAGAUGGGAAUGCAGCAGGACCAGCAUGUGGCAUCCAUCCAGAAAGGCUAGUAAGAAAACUAGGGAAAAGAGAAAUAGGUUUUCAUCAAUUCCAGUUGUUGAAGAGGCAUGAAGCGUAUUUUUCCUGGUUAUUGUCAAACUACAACUCUUUAGGAAAUGUGUAAGGAGCCAACAACAACUAGGAAUCCAUGCCGAGGUUCCAGAUGCUUGAAGUCGCUGGAGAUAAAGGAGAGAUUGGUUUUAAGGUUUACUUUGUAGGAAAUCUCAUAGAGGAGAUAUGGUCAACUCCCAAGAUUGGAGACAAUGGUGGGCUCUAGAUUAAAAUAUUUCUGCUUGAUUAACACAUAGCCUAGUCUAGAUUUCAUCUCUUGUUCAUGGUCAAAAACUACAUGUAUCCUUUCCUGUUUAUUAGUGAUUUUUUUACCAUGGCAAAAACCUAUGAUCCUUUAAGGGGUUUUUCCAUAUAAACCUUUGUGUGCCUAUAUGCAAGGAAUGAAAUGUCAUUCCGUGCCGCCCGGCACGGACGGUUUUACCAUUCCGCCGAGCAGCCGAAAUCGGCACAGGAGGCAUCCCCAUCUCAACGGCACCGGAGGAGACGCGGGACACCUCUGGCGGCGCCGGAGGAAAUGCGAGACGGAUUCGGCAUCAAAGGCGUCGCCAAAAGCGUCCAGCGGCUUCGAAGAGACUUUU